GUAAGUGAAACUGAUUUUUACAACAGAACUGUGAUUGCCAGGCUGUGUCGGCACAUGAUUUUCUCCACCGAAAUACCACCAGGGACAUCUCAGUACUUCUCCACUUGAUUUGUAAGUCCUGCUGCUUUCUAAAUCUUACCAGAAUGUCCUUUAGAAAAAUGGUUUCCAUUUCAAGUUCCAGUGACAGGAAAUAAGGGGUAAAGAGGAAAAGGUACACCUUUGGGACUGGCCGAAGAAUUGCUUCUACAUUCAGUGACUAGGAAAUCUAAAAUGCUGAGGUACAUAUUAACCUGUUGCAAAUGGAAACUUGGAAACUUCUACAUCAGCUGGCCAUUCAAAUAACACUCUUGGCAAUUCAGAAAAACUAGUAAGGUCCCUGUUCUACAGAUGAAGAAUUAAAGAGAAAUAAGGCUGUGUUUUGUCUGAGGCUACACCAAUUUUGUGAAUAAAAUAAGGAAUGAUUACUGGAC
Canis lupus familiaris (dog) is the source of this 470-nucleotide long non-coding RNA. RefSeq lists it as uncharacterized. The transcript is spliced from 5 exons. The record is from RefSeq and is a predicted model, not a curated record. NCBI's taxonomy places the organism in Eukaryota, Metazoa, Chordata, Mammalia, Carnivora, Canidae.